Molecule: ribosomal RNA, 461 nt
Filed under: uncultured bacterium
Lineage: Bacteria
Description: bacterial SSU rRNA
Rfam family: Bacterial small subunit ribosomal RNA
Source: RNAcentral
AACGAACGCUGGCGGCAGGCCUAACACAUGCAAGUCGAGCGGGACCUUCGGGUCUAGCGGCGGACGGGUUAGUAACGCGUGGGAACGUGCCCAAAGGUACGGAAUAGCCUCGGGAAACUGAGAGUAAUACCGUAUGUGCCCCUCGGGGGAAAGAUUUAUCGCCUUUGGAUCGGCCCGCGUUGGAUUAGGUAGUUGGUGGGGUAAUGGCCUACCAAGCCGACGAUCCAUAGCUGGUUUGAGAGGAUGAUCAGCAACACUGGGACUGAGACACGGCCCAGACUCCUACGGGAGGCAGCCAGUGGGGAAUCUUAGACAAUGGGGGAAACCCUGAUCUAGCCAUGCCGCGUGAGCGAUGAAGGCCUUAGGGUUGUAAAGCUCUUUCAGAUGGGAAGAUAAUGACGGUACCAUCAGAAGAAGCCCCGGCUAACUCCGUGCCAGCAGCCGCGGUAAGGCACGACUGU